UUACUAUUAAUCAUUCGCUUUCUCAAUGAAAAUCCCUUUUCUAGUUUUAUAUAUAUUUUUAAAUAUAUAUUUAAAUAUAAAAGUCUCUCUGGGAGAGUAAACUAUACAAUUUCAUAUUUAUCUGUAAAACAUAUAAUUUUGCUAUGUGGCUACUAAGCACAAUUAAUUCUUUAAUUUAUAUUUCAUGGUUUAUUUUCAAUGUGAUAUGGAAAUGUAUGGUUUAUCUGUAAAAAUAGCAAAUCAACAGACCAUGUCUGUUUUGUUUAAAUAUGCUAUAUUAAUUUAAAACAGCAUAACCUCGUAAAAUCAGUUUUCGUUAUAAAUGUUCAUGAUAUAAAUAUGAGAUAUUAUUAUGUUAAUUUAUUAAGAAUUUUUUAGAGAAAGUUGAUGUAAUAAUUUCUGAUUACUAUGACAAAUGUUUUGUCAUAGUAAUUUAAUAUUUUUUUUAUCAUAUAUUCUUUAUUAUAUUGUAUUUAGGAAAUUAAGAUUGAGGACGAUAUUACUACUUUAAUACAACUCUGGUACCGCUCUUUCCAAAAAUAGACUGCCAACCUGUGGAGAAUAUAGAAAAAAGAACCUACGAGAGAAGUAUAUGCCCUAUACCCGCCUCCUCGACACCCUACCCUUAUCCGACGGCUACAUACUAUAAUAGCAGAGGCCGCCGCAGAAGAAUUUACCAAUACUAGUGUUUCUGAAGAGAGAAAUAAAAUGGAGUAAAAAAUUUCAUAAUUCUAGAUAAUUUUAUAGUUACGUUUGUCAUUGUUGUCGUGAUAAUCAUUUUCCCUUUCGCUGUCAACUUAUGAAGCCUGAGGUUUGACUAAGAAUUAAAUAAUAGAUUACAAAUAACCAAUUUCAAAUACAGUAGAUAUUAAUUCUUAAUGCUUUUUGUUUGUGAUUCCAAUAUCAAUAUUUUUAUAUUUUGUUAAUAUAUAAUUAUAUAUAAUAUAUACGUGUUAUUACUA
Long non-coding RNA from Anthonomus grandis grandis, 962 nucleotides. RefSeq lists it as uncharacterized. Lineage: Eukaryota; Metazoa; Arthropoda; Insecta; Coleoptera; Curculionidae. The record is from RefSeq and is a predicted model, not a curated record. The transcript is spliced from 2 exons.